GAUUGAACGCUGGCGGCAUGCUUUACACAUGCAAGUCGAACGGUAACAGGCCUUCGGGUGCUGACGAGUGGCGAGCGGGUGAGUAAUGCAUCGGAACGUGCCCAGAGGUGGGGGAUAACGCAGCGAAAGCUGUGCUAAUACCGCAUGUGAUCUGAGGAUGAAAGCGGGGGACCAGGCAGCAAUGUUUGGCCUCGCUCCUUUGGAGCGGCCGAUGUCAGAUUAGGUAGUUGGUGGGGUAAAGGCCUACCAAGCCGACGAUCUGUAGCUGGUCUGAGAGGACGACCAGCCACACUGGGACUGAGACACGGCCCAGACUCCUACGGGAGGCAGCAGUGGGGAAUUUUGGACAAUGGGCGCAAGCCUGAUCCAGCAAUGCCGCGUGCGGGAAGAAGGCCUUCGGGUUGUAAACCGCUUUUGUACGGAACGAAAAGGCUCUGGCUAAUACCUGGGGCUGAUGACGGUACCGUAAGAAUAAGCACCGGCUAACUACGUG
This 493-nucleotide ribosomal RNA is filed under the name uncultured bacterium. RNAcentral describes it as "partial 16S ribosomal RNA". It matches the Rfam family "Bacterial small subunit ribosomal RNA", at positions 27 to 507 of the family's 1533-position model. The record is from RNAcentral.